Molecule: ribosomal RNA, 467 nt
Filed under: uncultured Kofleria sp.
Lineage: Bacteria; Pseudomonadati; Myxococcota; Haliangiales; Kofleriaceae
Description: bacterial SSU rRNA
Rfam family: Bacterial small subunit ribosomal RNA
Source: RNAcentral
ACUCCUACGGGAGGCAGCAGUAGGGAAUCUUCCGCAAUGGACGAAAGUCUGACGGAGCAACGCCGCGUGAGUGAUGAAGGCUUUCGGGUCGUAAAACUCUGUUGUUAGGGAAGAACAAGUGCUAGUUGAAUAAGCUGGCACCUUGACGGUACCUCCUUAGCAAGCACCGGCUAACUCCGUGCCAGCAGCCGCGGUAAUACGGAGGGUGCAAACGUUGCUCGGAAUCAUUGGGCGUAAAGCGCACGUAGGCGGCCUGUUAAGUCGGAUGUGAAAGCCCUCGGCUCAACCGAGGAAGUGCAUACGAAACUGGCAGGCUUGAAUAUGGAAGAGGGUCGCGGAAUUCCCGGUGUAGAGGUGAAAUUCGUAGAUAUCGGGAGGAACACCAGUGGCGAAGGCGGCGACCUGGGCCAAUAUUGACGCUGAGGUGCGAAAGCGUGGGGAGCGAACAGGAUUAGAUACCCUGGUAG